This is a long non-coding RNA of Piliocolobus tephrosceles (Ugandan red Colobus), 862 nucleotides long. The record is from Ensembl. NCBI's taxonomy places the organism in Eukaryota, Metazoa, Chordata, Mammalia, Primates, Cercopithecidae.
AUGGAAGUUCCAGUAAUAGUAAUAUUUUUAAUAAUAAUGAAGGGGAAGGGUUGUUACAAAAGGCAAUUUCUUUAUCAAAACUUGGAGCAGAGAAUAUUCAAAAAGGAAUUAAAAAAACAUUUGAAAAAAACUAAUUUAAAUACAUCCCCUUCAGUUAUAUCUAAUUCAACUGCAGCAGAUAGUGGAUCUAUGUUUUCUAAUUUCCCAUUAUUCAAUUUACAAAAUGCAGAGCAGCAAACAAAUUCUUUCGUUACUCUUACAACAUUAUUGUCAUAUAAAACUUCCCUUUAUUUUGUCUUUUUUUUGGAAUUAGUAUGUGUUUUUUACUUUUAUCAUUUUUUUACAUUACCUAUGAUUGUUAUAUCUCCUAGGCAGUUUGGUUCUUUCUUUACUUUAUCAUCAAUUUGUUUUGUCAUAUCAUUAGCCUUUUUGAAAGGAACUUCUAAUUUGUAUUACCACUUAACAGAAAAAAAACGCCUACCAUUCACAACUGCAUAUAUUUUAUCUUUGAUUUUUACUUUAUACUUUUCCGUUAUUAAUCCUAUGUAUUUAUUGGCUUUGAUUACCACAAUUGUCCAAGUUCUCGCACUUAUAUCAUUUAUUGCUUCUUAUAUACCAGGAGGAGCGAAUGCAAUAAAACUUUUAAUAACAACAAUGAUCACAUAUUUAAGGAAUUUAUUCCAGAGAAACAAUUCAUCCGAUUUACCGUUUUAAUUUAAUUUAUUCAUUUAAUUUUUUUUUUUUUUUUUCUUUUUUACACAUUUCUAAAUUCAUUUUCUACAUAUUUAAUUUUUUUAAUAUAUCCCAAGGUUUCAUAAACAUUUAUUUUUAAAUUAAUAAACUUUUGUUGAAAAGAGUAACA